Molecule: unclassified non-coding RNA, 148 nt
Organism: Callithrix jacchus (white-tufted-ear marmoset)
Lineage: Eukaryota; Metazoa; Chordata; Mammalia; Primates; Cebidae
Rfam family: Metazoan signal recognition particle RNA
About the family: The signal recognition particle (SRP) is a universally conserved ribonucleoprotein. It is involved in the co-translational targeting of proteins to membranes. The eukaryotic SRP consists of a 300-nucleotide 7S RNA and six proteins: SRPs 72, 68, 54, 19, 14, and 9.
Source: Ensembl
GCCGGGUGUGGUGGUGCACGCCUGUAAUCCCAGCUACUCAGGAGGCUGAGGCAGGAGGAUUGCUUGAACCUGGGAGGCAGAGGUUGCAGUGAGCCAAGAUUGUGCCACUGGACUCCAGCCUGGGUGACAGAGUGAGACUCUGUCUCUA